RNA transcript from Pyrus x bretschneideri (Chinese white pear), 3394 nucleotides. RefSeq lists it as uncharacterized. The record is from RefSeq and is a predicted model, not a curated record. The transcript is spliced from 3 exons. Lineage: Eukaryota; Viridiplantae; Streptophyta; Magnoliopsida; Rosales; Rosaceae.
AUUGUUAAAAAUGAAAUGCCUUAAUCUCUGUCUACUUCGUCUAAUUAUUUAAAUGCCUUAAUCGCUUGAAUGCUUCUUCUUUGCUUUUUCGUCCUUUUUUGUUUUUAACACAUUUUGUAAUUGUGAAAACGGUAUUGGAUUGAUUUUAGCAAGUGGGAUUUUUUGUUAACGUUAAUCAGACCCGGACCUUUGUGUUGAUCGAAGUCAUUGCUGCUGGGUUAGCUGGUGAAUGCUGGAUUUGGGGACUCAAGAAGUGAGAGAGGACAAAAGCCAGCAGCUCGGUAAGUGUUCUUUUUAUUCCUAGCUUUUUUUGCUGAGUAGAGGCUUUCUUUUCCUGAGAAAAGCCCUGAAUCCAUUCAAUUUCAAACCCUAAAUCCGUUCACUGAAAGACAAAACAUAAGAAUUAGUCGUUGAAAUUUGUAAAGGGGUUGUGAUGGUGGCAAGUAGUAAUGGGUGUCGAUUUGGUUCAACAAGAAAGUGGUCGAUCGCCUCCUCAAAAUCCUCUGCAGGAACCCUUUGCUCUCUCUCUCUCUCUCUCUCUCUCUCUAAUUUUCUUUUUCUAUUCCAGAUCCACACAUUCUGUUUUUUCUUUUUUGUUUGAUUGAUUGAUAAUGGUCCAACAAUUGUUUUCCUAAAAAGUCUUGUUUCGCUGGUACUUUUAUUUGGCGGUUGCUGAGAAAGAAAGAAAGUUCUAAAAUUUGAUUUGGAUUUUGAAGGGGUGCAGAACCUAAGCUGCUGGCUUUCUCUGCAGCUCUUGGCCUUACCAUUGGAUUAUUUCCAAUAUGUGGUACGUAUAUUUUGCUCAGGUUUUCUGGGAAAUCUAAUACUGUUUGUGGAUUAUGGUUGUAUAUUCAUUGUUGGUUUAACUUCUUCACCGAAGUUAGUGAAGUUGAGAGGGACAACCAAGUCCUCAGGUCUAUUUCUCUUUGUGCAUGCAUGUAUGCAUGCAUAAUGUUGUAUGUAUGUGGAUGUGAUGACAGUUUAAUUGUAUAAACUAGGGUUUCGGGCAAUAGGAUUGUUUAUCAUGUUUUGCAAUUAAAUGGAAAAAAAGGCCGACUCAAAUUAACUUCGCAGCAAUUUGUUUUUCCCUGAUUGAAAUUAAAUUGGUUGAAAUAUGUAUAAUUGUUUUGGCUGUGUAUUCGAUUUAUUGACGAGGUGUGCACUUUAUUCAAAUUGCUUAUUCGUAGAAGAAUUUGACAAGUUUUGUGGAGCUGCCAACUGUGUUAUGCGGCGUAAUCCGUUAAAUGUUACUGGACAUGAUUAGAAGAAUAUGUUAUGUAGUAUUGUUUGAAAAAGGAAUAAUGGGUCAUAGGCUCAUAGCUAGCUGAAAGUAUUGUCGAAUAUAAUUUUAGGCAAGUGCUCAAAUUGUGAGAGAGAUUAGUGUACAUUGCUUUCUGUGGUUAUGAAGUAUAGGACUUAUGGAAUAGACUUCAUAGUUGUACAUCUAUGGCAUCAGUACACUAUGAAAUAUGACUUUAAAUUCGCUGCUCUAACUUUGAUGGUCUUCCAGAUUAGUGUUAUUAUUACGUUUUGGUCAUCUUUUCACUAUCAUCUCUCUCAGUCAUGACUUAGGUACUACAGAAUAGGUUUUUGUGCGUCUGUUUAUUUGUAAUUGUCCAAAUAGCAAUGUAACUGUUGAAUAGUUUUUUGUGUAUCUUUGCUGCUCCGUAUGAAUUAGCUUGGGGUUGCUUGACAGUGACGGUGAAUUUACCUUGAGGUUCUGUAGUUCCUUACAAACAAACGUCUCUCUGUCAUUGUGAUUUGUUUUUCUUCCAUCUGUUUGUUGAUAUAAUCCGUUAGGUAGAGCAUGUUAUGAUGUUUCCAAUUUGAUAAAUAAAGUUAAGUCAUAAUGAAUUCAACCAUUGUAUGAUUUGCAUUUAUUUAGAAUUCAUAGAUAUAGGAGAAGAUACAUAGGAACUUAAAAAACCUAGAACAAUGAAAAACUAUGCAUAUAUUGUGUAGCUGUGUAGCUUUUGUUCUAAUAGGCAGCUACAAUCAGCAGGGAUGAAGCAAGCGUUUCACUUGCCAGGAGUGAUUGUCACCAUCUUUGUGACAUAAGACAUUUCUCUAAAAAGCAUCUCUUCCUCUGUGAAAGUCAAUUGCAGAGGAAGAACUGUUCUGAUGUUGACGACUUCAAUUAACAAGCCUGUGCUGUUGAGAUUUUCCCAUGUCAAAUAUAGAAGUCUUCAAACGUUUCUCAGGAUCAAUGCCACUUGGAAGGUGAGAGUGCUCGAUUGCGACCAAAUUUGGGUGAGAACCGUCAAACUCUAAUCCUAAUUUUUUCCUCUUUUGAACCAUACAAAUUAAGUAUCUUUGGAUGUACUGUUUGUAUUUUCUCGGAAUUUCAGUAUAGGGUUGAUGGUGUUUGUAUUAUUAAACUUGGUCGUCACUUUUUUUCCAUUGUGGCUGUCAUUUUUUUUCGUAUCUCAAAUCAAAAUUGUAUUUGCUUAUUUUGUUUCUCAAGUUCAAACGAGGCCAUCGGUUUUGUCAAUGUUAGUCUGACUGGGUCGUUCAUCGAUGCAGAAGCAUGGCCUCUCACUAAAUGGCCAGACUUGAUCAAGCUUUUAGUUGAUGGGCCAAUCUGGAAGUGUAUUCAACUGCUAUUUGUCGAAAGUGUGAAAGAUCUGCUGGAGGUGGAGGUCAGAAGUAUUCUUCCCGUGCAAGAUGUUGCCAAGAUAGCACGGCGGGCUGAGUGUGUUGUUGCACACCUCGCCUUCUCCUCUCCUUCUCACUCCUUACCAGAACUCAAAUCAAUGGUGAGGUGCAUGUCGUUGUCUAACUCAUCUUCAUCUCUGUCUCUUUCACUCUUGAGUUACCUGCUGUUGGAUUCCGUUUGCGUUGCCGAUCUACAGGUAAAGCUUCAAUUUCCAUGUUGGGAUUCCAUUUUUCUUCAUUUCUGGAAUUUGGGUUUUAAUUUCAGUAAUUUAUUUCUAUUAAUUUUAGUUCUGUGUUUAGUAAAUUUUGUUCUUAAUUUUAUUUCAGUAAACUUUUCAAUAUUGAUAUGAUUUUUUUUACGCAAUUAAUAGCAACCGAUGACACUUCUCAUAACAAACUUUCCAAUAUGCCAUGUUUGUAUGAUUUUAUGUCCACGAAAGGCUAUAUAUUCAAAGAUAGGAUUGAAGAGGCGUGCCCGUUUCUUAUGUUUUCCUUUUUGUUUAUGCACCGUGAUUUUUAUUUGGCAAAGAAAUUAUAUAAUCAGGAUGUACAUAUUGUCUUGGAGAAUACAAUUGCAAAGCUCCCAGCAGCUGUGUGGAAAUUGGAUUGGAAUUUGAAGACGAGAUUUAGGAGUGUGUAUUGAGUUUUUUUGGGUUUUUUUUUUUUUUUUUCUAAAAUGGUUACUGUUUAUUUACUUUAUUUGAUUACAAUUUGAAUGUGAUGAAAAUUUAAAAUUUAA